Molecule: transfer RNA, 67 nt
Filed under: Isothrix sinnamariensis
Lineage: Eukaryota; Metazoa; Chordata; Mammalia; Rodentia; Echimyidae
Description: tRNA-Val
Rfam family: tRNA
About the family: Transfer RNA (tRNA) molecules are approximately 80 nucleotides in length. Their secondary structure includes four short double-helical elements and three loops (D, anti-codon, and T loops). Further hydrogen bonds mediate the characteristic L-shaped molecular structure. tRNAs have two regions of fundamental functional importance: the anti-codon, which is responsible for specific mRNA codon recognition, and the 3' end, to which the tRNAs corresponding amino acid is attached (by aminoacyl-tRNA synthetases). tRNAs cope with the degeneracy of the genetic code in two manners: having more than one tRNA (with a specific anti-codon) for a particular amino acid; and 'wobble' base-pairing, i.e. permitting non-standard base-pairing at the 3rd anti-codon position.
Source: RNAcentral
CAAAGCAUAGCUUAAUUAAAGCAUCCGGUUUACACCCAGAAGAUCUCAACCCCAUUGAUUGCUUUGA